GGUCCCAUAGUUAAAAUGGAUAUAACGGGUCUUUCCUAAAGAUCUGUUCCAAGUUCGAUUCUUGGUGGGACCGCCA
This 76-nucleotide transfer RNA is filed under the name Oligoflexia bacterium. RNAcentral describes it as "tRNA-Arg". It matches the Rfam family "tRNA". From Rfam's summary of the family: Transfer RNA (tRNA) molecules are approximately 80 nucleotides in length. The record is from RNAcentral. Lineage: Bacteria; Pseudomonadati; Bdellovibrionota; Oligoflexia.